Molecule: non-coding RNA, 299 nt
Organism: Arachis ipaensis
Lineage: Eukaryota; Viridiplantae; Streptophyta; Magnoliopsida; Fabales; Fabaceae
Source: RefSeq, a predicted model, not a curated record
AAUUAAUCCAACAUACGUUAAAAUCUCAGGCCAAAAAUCAACCUAUGACUGCGCUAUCUACGUUAUGAAGUGGCUUGAGUUAAUUGAGCCGGAAAAUAUUAAAAGGGGGAAGUAUGAAUGGGAUAAUUGACCACAGGAGGAGGUGGACCACUACAGAGUAGAAUAUGCCUCGCGGAUACUAUUCAGUGAAUUGAAUAAAGAGAGAGAUCAAGCAAUUAGAGCGAGUAAUGCAAUAAGACUGUCGAAGCCAUCGUCAGUAUUAUUGAGUCCAUUUUGUCAGAUUAAGUCUACUGAUGUAG